This 587-nucleotide ribosomal RNA is filed under the name uncultured Pseudomonas sp. RNAcentral's name for it is "bacterial SSU rRNA". It matches the Rfam family "Bacterial small subunit ribosomal RNA", at positions 102 to 685 of the family's 1533-position model. Lineage: Bacteria; Pseudomonadati; Pseudomonadota; Gammaproteobacteria; Pseudomonadales; Pseudomonadaceae. The record is from RNAcentral.
ACGGGUGAGUAAUGCCUAGGAAUCUGCCUGGUAGUGGGGGACAACGUUUCGAAAGGAACGCUAAUACCGCAUACGUCCUACGGGAGAAAGCAGGGGACCUUCGGGCCUUGCGCUAUCAGAUGAGCCUAGGUCGGAUUAGCUAGCUGGUGAGGUAAUGGCUCACCAAGGCGACGAUCCGUAACUGGUCUGAGAGGAUGAUCAGUCACACUGGAACUGAGACACGGUCCAGACUCCUACGGGAGGCAGCAGUGGGGAAUAUUGGACAAUGGGCGAAAGCCUGAUCCAGCCAUGCCGCGUGUGUGAAGAAGGUCUUCGGAUUGUAAAGCACUUUAAGUUGGGAGGAAGGGUUGUAGAUUAAUACUCUGCAAUUUUGACGUUACCGACAGAAUAAGCACCGGCUAACUCUGUGCCAGCAGCCGCGGUAAUACAGAGGGUGCAAGCGUUAAUCGGAAUUACUGGGCGUAAAGCGCGCGUAGGUGGUUCGUUAAGUUGGAUGUGAAAUCCCCGGGCUCAACCUGGGAACUGCAUUCAAAACUGUCGAGCUAGAGUAUGGUAGAGGGUGGUGGAAUUUCCUGUGUAGCGGUGAA